AUAUAGUAAUUCAAAAACUUGAAAAUUGGGUGUUCACACUCUUGUAAGAUGUGCCUUCUGCAAACCUUGUCACAACAUCAGCACAUUACCUGUCCGAUG
Small nucleolar RNA from Pteropus vampyrus (large flying fox), 99 nucleotides. The record is from Ensembl. NCBI's taxonomy places the organism in Eukaryota, Metazoa, Chordata, Mammalia, Chiroptera, Pteropodidae.